This 483-nucleotide ribosomal RNA is filed under the name uncultured bacterium. RNAcentral's name for it is "bacterial SSU rRNA". It matches the Rfam family "Bacterial small subunit ribosomal RNA", at positions 28 to 506 of the family's 1533-position model. The record is from RNAcentral.
GAUGAACGCUAGCGGCAGGCUUAAUACAUGCAAGUCGUGGGCAGCAGGUUUGUAGCAAUACAGAUGCUGGCGACCGGCAAACGGGUGCGGAACACGUACAGAACCUUCCUUUGAGCGGGGAAUAGCCCAGAGAAAUUUGGAUUAAUACCCCAUAGUAUAAUGAAGUGGCAUCACUUUAUUAUUAAGAUUUAUCACUCGAAGAUGGCUGUGCGGCUGAUUAGGUAGUUGGCGGGGUAAAGGCCCACCAAGCCUGCGAUCAGUAACUGGUGUGAGAGCACGACCAGUCACACGGGCACUGAGACACGGGCCCGACUCCUACGGGAGGCAGCAGUAAGGAAUAUUGGUCAAUGGAGGCAACUCUGAACCAGCCAUGCCGCGUGGAGGAUGAAGGUCCUCUGGAUUGUAAACUUCUUUAUAUGGGACGAAAAAGGCUUUCUAAGUACGUCUGACGGUACCAUAUGAAUAAGCACCGGCUAACUCCGU